This 376-nucleotide long non-coding RNA is filed under the name Mytilus galloprovincialis (Mediterranean mussel). The record is from RNAcentral. Lineage: Eukaryota; Metazoa; Mollusca; Bivalvia; Mytilida; Mytilidae.
UGCUUUGUUAGUUUGGGAUUUUUUUUUCAUUUGUCAGGGAUUUUUUUUCAUUUACUAUUUUUCUCUUAAUUAUUUGUUUGUUUAUUUUUUCUAGUAGAUCAUCAUAAUCACUCAUCGUAUGUAUUUUUGGAAAUUUCUUUUCUGCAAAUGUUUAUUUGUGUUGAUAAUGGCAAGAAGAUUGGCACACCUUGUUCACAUGCUAAUGCCGAUAGUUUGUUUAAAACAUUGUCCUUUAGACGUAAAAAAAAAAUUGCCAAUAAAAAAAUAAAGAAUCGUGAUAAUGUCAGUUUCAGAGAAUGUUUUGUUUGAACUAUAAGUGUGAUUUAAAAAAAAAAUAGGAUGUAUGCCUCCCUAAGAUAAGAUACUUGUAUCUACG